This 784-nucleotide long non-coding RNA is filed under the name Marmota monax (woodchuck). Lineage: Eukaryota; Metazoa; Chordata; Mammalia; Rodentia; Sciuridae. The record is from RNAcentral.
UGUCUGGUUUCCCCAAGUUGUUUUCUCAAACUCCUAAUUUGUGUUAUUGACUAAUUCACUUUGAAAUGAACAGUUUCUGCCUUAGAACUAGAUUUUGUGAUUUCCUGUCUUACAGUGACUGUGUUUCCAAGCUUGCAAGCUCCCUGAGAACAAGAAUCAACCAUUUAUUUGUGUGCCCUUCGUGGAGAGUAUAAAAAUAAGCUGCUGUCCCGACCAAUGUCCAUCAGUGAACUGGUGCAGAUCUAGAACCAGUGAACACAGCAAUUCAGAGUUUGGAGACUUUCUUAUUUAGCAGUGUGAUAUUGCAACAGCAGCGAAGCAUUCACCUUGGGCUUGUUUCGUUGAAAAGGGAAUAAAUCAGAUUGGGUGCUGUUGAGUUCUUGUGUUGAAUUCCAUGUGGCACCAGCUGCAUACAAGCCACACACAGUAGGGCCACACAUCAGCCUGUAGGAUCUUCACAUUGGACAGUUUGUGAAGUACCAUACCAGAGAACCUAUGAUGGAAACCAGCAUGCUACAAGUAUUUUCCGGCACUUGUAGAUUGAGACACACCACAGGUUUGAAUACUUUAAUAGCCAUGUUUUUCUUUCCUAUCCCUGUAUAAAAAAAAAAAACAAAACGGAAGCAUGAACAUAAAUGUGCACUCAAUUCAUAUGACAUAUGUAACCCGGAUGUUACCUGGUAUGUUAGCUUUCUGUGCUAUAACAAAAUACCUGAGAAAAUCAAUUUAAAAAGAGCAAAGACUUAUUUGGACUGAUAGUUUUGGAGGUUUCCAUUGGUGGUGA